AGACACAGCCAUAUCACCCUGCAGCCCAAGACCGGUUACUCACUGAAGCUAAGCAGGGCUGAACCUGGUCAGUGUCUGGAUGGGAGACCACUAGGGAACACUAGGUUGCUGUUGGAA
Molecule: ribosomal RNA, 117 nt
Filed under: Danio rerio (zebrafish)
Lineage: Eukaryota; Metazoa; Chordata; Actinopteri; Cypriniformes; Danionidae
Source: RNAcentral